AGUGAACGCUGGCGGUAGGCCUAACACAUGCAAGUCGAACGGCAACACAGUAAGAGCUUGCUCUUACGGGUGGCGAGUGGCGGACGGGUGAGGAAUACCUCGGAAUCUACUUUUUCGUGGGGGAUAACGUAGGGAAACUUACGCUAAUACCGCAUACGACCUACGGGUGGAAGCAGGGGAUCUUCGGACCUUGCGCGACUGACUGCGCCGCUGACGGAUUAGCUAGUUGGCGGGGUAAAGGCCCACCAAGGCGACGAUCCGUAGCUGGUCUGAGAGGAUGAUCAGCCACACUGGAACUGAGACACGGUCCAGACGCCUACGGGAGGCAGCAGUGGGGAAUAUUGGACAAUGGGCGCAAGCCUGAUCCAGCCAUACCGCGUGGGUGAAGAAGGCCUUCGGGUUGUAAAGCCCUUUUGUUGGGAAAGAAAAGCAGCAGGUUAAUACCCCGCUGUUCUGACGGUACCCAAAGAAUAAGCACCGGCUAACUUCGUG
Molecule: ribosomal RNA, 492 nt
Filed under: uncultured bacterium
Lineage: Bacteria
Description: partial 16S ribosomal RNA
Rfam family: Bacterial small subunit ribosomal RNA
Source: RNAcentral